Molecule: ribosomal RNA, 920 nt
Filed under: uncultured soil bacterium
Lineage: Bacteria
Description: bacterial SSU rRNA
Rfam family: Bacterial small subunit ribosomal RNA
Source: RNAcentral
AGAGUUUGAUCCUGGCUCAGAGUGAACGCUGGCGGCAGGCCUAACACAUGCAAGUCGAACGGCAGCACAGCAGUAGCAAUACUGUGGGUGGCGAGUGGCGGACGGGUGAGGAAUACAUGGGAAUCUGCCCUGUCGUGGGGGAUAACGUAGGGAAACUUACGCUAAUACCGCAUACGACCGGAAGGUGAAAGCGGCGGACCGCAAGGCGUCGCGCGACUGGAUGAGCCCAUGUCGGAUUAGCUAGUUGGCGGGGUAAAGGCCCACCAAGGCGACGAUCCGUAGCUGGUCUGAGAGGAUGAUCAGCCACACUGGAACUGAGACACGGUCCAGACUCCUACGGGAGGCAGCAGUGGGGAAUAUUGGACAAUGGGCGCAAGCCUGAUCCAGCCAUGCCGCGUGAGUGAAGAAGGCCUUCGGGUUGUAAAGCUCUUUUGUCCGGAAAGAAAAGCUCUCGGUUAAUACCCGGGGGUUCUGACGGUACCGGAAGAAUAAGCACCGGCUAACUUCGUGCCAGCAGCCGCGGUAAUACGAAGGGUGCAAGCGUUACUCGGAAUUACUGGGCGUAAAGCGUGCGUAGGUGGUUCGUUAAGUCUGAUGUGAAAGCCCUGGGCUCAACCUGGGAAUGGCAUUGGAUACUGGCGAUCUAGAGUGCGGUAGAGGGCAGUGGAAUUCCCGGUGUAGCAGUGAAAUGCGUAGAGAUCGGGAGGAACAUCUGUGGCGAAGGCGACUGCCUGGACCAGCACUGACACUGAGGCACGAAAGCGUGGGGAGCAAACAGGAUUAGAUACCCUGGUAGUCCACGCCCUAAACGAUGCGAACUGGAUGUUGGGUGCAACUAGGCACUCAGUAUCGAAGCUAACGCGUUAAGUUCGCCGCCUGGGGAGUACGGUCGCAAGACUGAAACUCAAAGGAAUUGACGG